This 396-nucleotide ribosomal RNA is filed under the name uncultured bacterium. Its description in RNAcentral is "bacterial SSU rRNA". It matches the Rfam family "Bacterial small subunit ribosomal RNA", at positions 975 to 1375 of the family's 1533-position model. The record is from RNAcentral.
CAGGACUUGACAUCCCUCUGACAGAUCCUUAAUCGGAUUCUUCUUCGGACAGAGGAGACAGGUGGUGCAUGGUUGUCGUCAGCUCGUGUCGUGAGAUGUUGGGUUAAGUCCCGCAACGAGCGCAACCCUUGCCAUUAGUUGCCAUCAUUCAGUUGGGCACUCUAGUGGGACUGCCGGGGACAACUCGGAGGAAGGUGGGGAUGACGUCAAAUCAUCAUGCCCCUUAUGUUCUGGGCUACACACGUGCUACAAUGGCCGGUACAGAAAGCAGCGAAGUCGUGAGGCGGAGCAAAUCUCGAAAACCGGUCCCAGUUCGGACUGCAGGCUGCAACUCGCCUGCACGAAGCCGGAGUUGCUAGUAAUCGCGGAUCAGAAUGCCGCGGUGAAUGCGUUCCC